GCCCUAGUAACGGCGAGUGAAGCGGCAACAGCUCAAAUUUGAAAUCUGGCGCAAGCCCGAGUUGUAAUUUGUAGAGGAUGCUUCUAGGUAGCGACCGGUCUAAGUUCCUUGGAACAGGACGUCAUAGAGGGUGAGAAUCCCGUAUGUGACCGGCCCGCACCUUCUACGUAGCUCCUUCGACGAGUCGAGUUGUUUGGGAAUGCAGCUCUAAAUGGGAGGUAAAUUUCUUCUAAAGCUAAAUACCGGCCAGAGACCGAUAGCGCACAAGUAGAGUGAUCGAAAGAUGAAAAGCACUUUGGAAAGAGAGUUAAAAAGCACGUGAAAUUGUUGAAAGGGAAGCGCUUACAACCAGACUUCUGGGCGGUGUUCCGCCGGUCUUUUGACCGGUCUACUCGCCGUCCCGAGGCCAACAUCAUCUGGGACCGCUGGAUAAGACCUCAGGAAUGUAGCUCCCCUCGGGGAGUGUUAUAGCCUGUGGUGAUGCAGCGCGUCUCGGGUGAGGUCCGCGCUUCGGCAAGGAUGUUGGCGUAAUGGUUGUCAGCGGCCCGUCUUGAAACACGGACCAAGGAGUCUAACAUCUAUGCGAGUGUUCGGGUGUCAAACCCCUACGCGUAAUGAAAGUGAACGGAGGUGGGAAGGGCAACCUGCACCAUCGACCGAUCCUGAUGUCCUCGGAUGGAUUUGAGUAAGAGCAUAGCUGUUGGGACCCGAAAGAUGGUGAACUAUGCCUGAAUAGGGUGAAGCCAGAGGAAACUCUGGUGGAGGCUCGCAGCGGUUCUGACGUGCAAAUCGAUCGUCAAAUUUGGGUAUAGGGGCGA
Molecule: ribosomal RNA, 818 nt
Filed under: Ramularia coleosporii
Lineage: Eukaryota; Fungi; Ascomycota; Dothideomycetes; Mycosphaerellales; Mycosphaerellaceae
Description: eukaryotic LSU rRNA
Rfam family: Eukaryotic large subunit ribosomal RNA
Source: RNAcentral